Molecule: long non-coding RNA, 470 nt
Filed under: Homo sapiens (human)
Lineage: Eukaryota; Metazoa; Chordata; Mammalia; Primates; Hominidae
Description: non-protein coding lnc-AMY1B-1:8
Source: RNAcentral
CCCUGGCCUUGGGAAAGUGAAUUGGCCUGAAUAGCAAGGAGGAGAACUUGGGUGUGGAAAUACCGGAAUCUCACUCUAUUGCUCAGGCUGGAGUGCAGUGGCCACAAAGCGGGAGAUUGGCACGAGGGAUACCAACACCGGAAUAUGUGAUGAGAUGUGUGAAGAGCAUGGCAAUGGAUGCAAACUCCCUUUGUGUUUCUGGCUUUAAGCAGCUCUAUACUCUCAUGCUGUCCUACACUCAGCAGCAAUUUGUCACAAGUUUGGGAAAUUCUUCCUACUCUUUUGAACUCCAGCCCAAUUUCCUUUCUAUCACUGCCCUAGGUCUUACUCUUCCAGAAGAAAAAGGGAAAACCCAACCUGAAUGUCCCCUAAAAGUGAAGAAAUGUCCACACUUCUAUGUGCAGAUUGGUAUCUACAUACAGACCUCUUGGAGGAGUCAGACAAACAAGAUCUUGAAUCUUUACUGAUCU